Molecule: transfer RNA, 1189 nt
Filed under: Rhizobium leguminosarum bv. viciae
Lineage: Bacteria; Pseudomonadati; Pseudomonadota; Alphaproteobacteria; Hyphomicrobiales; Rhizobiaceae
Description: partial 16S-23S ribosomal RNA intergenic spacer
Rfam family: tRNA (bases 237-310)
Source: RNAcentral
CUAAGGAAGCUGUGGAACUGGUAAGACGAUCGGCUGGAUCUUCGGAUCUCCCCGAUAUGAACCUUCCCGUGCUUUUUAGAACAUAGAUGGCACCAGUCAGGUGACUAUCGAAACGUAAUACGCCGCGAUGACUUCGGUCACGACGGUAUGGCGAGCUUUCGCCGUCCACGUUUCUCUUUCUUCAAGAAGACAAAAAACCGCGUCGAUCCAGUUUAGGCUGGGCCGGUUCCCCGAAUGGGCCCGUAGCUCAGUUGGUUAGAGCACACGCUUGAUAAGCGUGGGGUCGGAAGUUCAAGUCUUCCCGGGCCCACCAUUUGCACCAGCAAAUGAAGUUUGCUGUAGCCAAUGAGGGUUAGGGAUGAUGGAAUGUCAGGCGAUGCGGAUUGUUGCCGAACCUUGGGGCUUGUCCUUGGGGUGAUCGAGCUGGAGGGGCUGUAGCUCAGCUGGGAGAGCACCUGCUUUGCAAGCAGGGGGUCAGCGGUUCGAUCCCGCUCAGCUCCACCAAAUCGAUUGGUGUUGAAGCUGACGGUAACGGAGCGAAAGCUUCGCAAGCGCAAGGCGCGUCGCCAAUCGUUUGGCGCCCCCCGCGGAGCGCCUUCGGCGCGUGAGCGACAAGAAUUGUCUUUUGAAGAAAUAAAAGUUUUGCAUCGGCUUAUGGCUGAUGCGUGUUCUGCAUACAUUGUGAAGAGAAGAUUGAUCUGGAGGCUUCCAGGUGUUUUGGGUUCUGCCCAAGGCGUCCGAGCCCAGUUCUGAUGAUCCCAUGGAUGGCCUAGCCGGCCGGAUAUGGGUGAAGGACUGGAGGGUGGAAGGAAGCUUGUCACUCUGGAUCGUCAGCGUAAACCGCAUAGCGGUUUAUCGCGUGUUGUUCGUAGCCUUCGGGCUUCGUCUGACGGACGAUCGGAUUACCGUUGCCUGACCGCGCGGUAUCGGAUCAUAUCUCGAGAAGCUGGUCUUAAGACAGGCUGCAAGCGAGCUGCUCGGCGUAGCUCCAAUAAAGCAGACCUGUCGAACACGUUAAUGGCAUUGUUAGAAAGCGUGAUUGUAAAAGGUAAUCACGCAUGUUUGGCCCGACCGGUUCGGCAAUCGCAAGGUUGUCGGUAUGGUCGGAUUUGGCACCCCGCGAGGCGAAAGCAACGCGGACAAGGUCUGCCAAAUCAAACAAAGACGAUGAGCAUUGGCAAUGAGAACG